RNAcentral lists this ribosomal RNA (497 nucleotides) under uncultured bacterium. RNAcentral describes it as "partial 16S ribosomal RNA". It matches the Rfam family "Bacterial small subunit ribosomal RNA", at positions 28 to 507 of the family's 1533-position model. The record is from RNAcentral.
GACGAACGCUGGCGGCGUGCCUAAUACAUGCAAGUAGAACGCUGAAGCUUGGUGCUUGCACCGAGCGGAUGAGUUGCGAACGGGUGAGUAACGCGUAGGUAACCUGCCUGGUAGCGGGGGAUAACUAUUGGAAACGAUAGCUAAUACCGCAUAAGAGUAGAUGUUGCAUGACAUUUGCUUAAAAGGUGCAAUUGCAUCACUACCAGAUGGACCUGCGUUGUAUUAGCUAGUUGGUGAGGUAACGGCUCACCAAGGCAACGAUACAUAUCCGACCUGAGAGGGUGAUCGGCCACACUGGGACUGAGACACGGCCCAGACUCCUACGGGAGGCAGCAGUAGGGAAUCUUCGGCAAUGGACGGAAGUCUGACCGAGCAACGCCGCGUGAGUGAAGAAGGUUUUCGGAUCGUAAAGCUCUGUUGUAAGAGAAGAACGAGUGUGAGAGUGGAAAGUUCACACUGUGACGGUAGCUUACCAGAAAGGGACGGCUAACUACGUG